GACGGAAGGUGCAAGCGUUGCUCGGAAUCACUGGGCGUAAAGGGUGCGUAGGCGGCCGCGCAAGUCUGGCGUGAAAGCCCCGGGCUCAGCCCGGGAAGGGCGCUCGAAACGGCGCGGCUCGAGUGCCGGAGGGGAGAGUGGAAUUCCUGGUGUAGCGGUGAAAUGCGUAGAUAUCGGGAGGAACACCAGAGGCGAAGGCGGCCUACUGGGCUGCACCUGACGCUGAGCCGCGAAAGCCAGGGGAGCGAACGGG
RNAcentral lists this ribosomal RNA (253 nucleotides) under uncultured bacterium. Its description in RNAcentral is "partial 16S ribosomal RNA". It matches the Rfam family "Bacterial small subunit ribosomal RNA", at positions 524 to 776 of the family's 1533-position model. The record is from RNAcentral.